AUUGAACGCUGGCGGCAUGCCUUACACAUGCAAGUCGAACGGCAGCACGGGUGCUUGCACCUGGUGGCGAGUGGCGAACGGGUGAGUAAUACAUCGGAACAUGUCCUGUAGUGGGGGAUAGCCCGGCGAAAGCCGGAUUAAUACCGCAUACGAUCUACGGAGGACAGCGGGGGACCUUCGGGCCUCGCGCUAUAGGGUUGGCCGAUGGCUGAUUAGCUAGUUGGUGGGGUAAAGGCCUACCAAGGCGACGCUCAGUAGCCGGUCUGAGAGGACGACCAGCCACACUGGAACUGAGACACGGCCCAGACUCCUACGGGAGGCAGCAGUGGGGAAUUUUGGACAAUGGGCGAAAGCCUGAUCCAGCAAUGCCGCGUGUGUGAAGAAGGCCUUCGGGUUGUAAAGCACUUUUGUCCGGAAAGAAAUCCUUGGCCCUAAUACGGUCGGGGGAUGACGGUACCGGAAGAAUAAGCACCGGCUAACUACGUG
This 486-nucleotide ribosomal RNA is filed under the name uncultured bacterium. RNAcentral's name for it is "partial 16S ribosomal RNA". It matches the Rfam family "Bacterial small subunit ribosomal RNA", at positions 30 to 507 of the family's 1533-position model. The record is from RNAcentral.